This 89-nucleotide transfer RNA is filed under the name compost metagenome. Its description in RNAcentral is "tRNA-Ser". It matches the Rfam family "tRNA". Rfam says of the family: Transfer RNA (tRNA) molecules are approximately 80 nucleotides in length. Their secondary structure includes four short double-helical elements and three loops (D, anti-codon, and T loops). The record is from RNAcentral.
GGAUGGUUACUCAAGUCAGGUCGAAGAGGACGCAUUGCUAACGCGUUAGGGUGUAACAGCCGCGAGAGUUCGAAUCUCUCACCAUCCGC